This 474-nucleotide long non-coding RNA is filed under the name Medicago truncatula (barrel medic). Its description in RNAcentral is "lncRNA gene3745". Lineage: Eukaryota; Viridiplantae; Streptophyta; Magnoliopsida; Fabales; Fabaceae. The record is from RNAcentral.
AGGCACUAGAAUGACCAAUUGCAUUUGCAUACUCAACCCUCCAGCAUGGAACCCCAUUCAUUUCGUAUUUAAUUUUAGGACAAGUAACCAAGUGUGACCCCGUCUCCAUGUCUAAUAACAAAUUGUUUAGCUGAAGCUUCAAAUUUGCUGGUUAUGGAUUGAAGGCUAACUACCAAUUUGGUUGAACAAAAGUUUGUUACAUUUUCUCAAAAUGCAUUGGGAUGCUAAAUAUGUAACCAAAAAUUUGUUGUUUUUGCGUGGGUUGGUUGCAAUCUAAACCAAGCGAGCGGCUUUUAGAUUGUUUGGUAUAGCAUCAGCAUUUGUAUCAGUGUAUGUUGUUUUUAGAGGUGGGCAUGAUUCGAUUCAAGAUGAAAACUGAACUGAACUGUUUGCUAUAAUAAUUCAACUAAACUAAACUGUUUGCAUUUCAAACUUGUACUAAACCGAACUGAAUUGUUCCAAACUGAACCAAAU